GACGAACGCUGGCGGCGUGCCUAAUACAUGCAAGUUGAGCGCUGAAGGUUGGUACUUGUACCAACUGGAUGAGCAGCGAACGGGUGAGUAACGCGUGGGGAAUCUGCCUUUGAGCGGGGGACAACAUUUGGAAACGAAUGCUAAUACCGCAUAAAAACUUUAAACACAAGUUUUAAGUUUGAAAGAUGCAAUUGCAUCACUCAAAGAUGAUCCCGCGUUGUAUUAGCUAGUUGGUGAGGUAAAGGCUCACCAAGGCGAUGAUACAUAGCCGACCUGAGAGGGUGAUCGGCCACAUUGGGACUGAGACACGGCCCAAACUCCUACGGGAGGCAGCAGUAGGGAAUCUUCGGCAAUGGACGAAAGUCUGACCGAGCAGCGCCGCGUGAGUGAAGAAGGUUUUCGGAUCGUAAAACUCUGUUGGUAGAGAAGAACGUUGGUGAGAGUGGAAAGCUCAUCAAGUGACGGUAACUACCCAGAAAGGGGCGGCUAACUACGUG
Molecule: ribosomal RNA, 497 nt
Filed under: uncultured bacterium
Lineage: Bacteria
Description: partial 16S ribosomal RNA
Rfam family: Bacterial small subunit ribosomal RNA
Source: RNAcentral